RNAcentral lists this long non-coding RNA (679 nucleotides) under Salmo salar (Atlantic salmon). Its description in RNAcentral is "lncRNA (ENSSSAG00000113154.1)". The record is from RNAcentral. Lineage: Eukaryota; Metazoa; Chordata; Actinopteri; Salmoniformes; Salmonidae.
AGACACGGCUAAGACAUCCGGGUUGGCAGAGUGUGCUAAAGCAAAGUCAACAAAUGAGAGCACCUGGGGAGUGGGAGUGGAGGUAGGCUCUGCAGGACCUGGAUUAACCUCUACAUCACCAGAGGAACAGAGGAGAAGUAGGAUAAGGAGAGGUUGGAAAAAUUAACACAAGGCCUACAGUUGUUCACAUCGCUACAACAGAUGAUUUGUGUGAUCAGGACCUGAGCCCUAGGACCAUGCCUCAGGACUACCUGGUAUGAUGACUCCUUGCUGUCCCCAGUCCACCUGGCCGUGCUGCUGCUCCGGUUUCAACUGUUCUGCCUGCGGCUAUGGAACCCUGACCUGUUCACCGGACGUGCUUGUUGCGCCCUCGACAGCUACUGUGAUUGUUGUUGUUUGGCCAUGCUGGUCAUUUAUGAACAUUUUAACAUUUUAACAUCUUGACCAUGUUCUGUUGUGGUAUCCGCCCUGCACAGCCAGAAGAGGACUGGCCACCCCUCAUAGCCUGGUUCCUCUCUAGGUUUCUUCCUAGGUUUUUGGCCUUUCUAGGGAGUUUUUCCUAGGGAGUUUUUCCUAGCCACCGUGCUUCUUUCACAUGCUUUGCUUGCUGUUUGGGGUUUUAGGCUGGGUUUCUGUACAGCACUUUGAGAAUAUCAGCUGAUGUACGAAGGGCUAUAUA